AAAAUGUAUAAAACAUUAAUCAAAGGUUCAAAAGUUCUUUUACAAUGAAAAUAAACAACUAUUUAUAACCAAAACAAGGGCUAGCUGAAUAGUCAUCUAAUUUCAGCUUUUAAUGAGCUGAAAUUUCUAGAAAAAUUCAAGAAAAUUCCAGGAAACUUUUCCAGCAAUGAAAACAUCUUUGGACAGCUUCUAGAGCGUCUAAAUGCAGCUGGAAUUAAUUGGGAUGCAUGGGAACUGAUUGGCUUUGUUGAGGACGUCUAAGGACAGC
RNAcentral lists this long non-coding RNA (268 nucleotides) under Gossypium raimondii (Peruvian cotton). Its description in RNAcentral is "long non-coding RNA (GRAI_LNC002865)". The record is from RNAcentral. Lineage: Eukaryota; Viridiplantae; Streptophyta; Magnoliopsida; Malvales; Malvaceae.